This 253-nucleotide ribosomal RNA is filed under the name uncultured bacterium. RNAcentral describes it as "partial 16S ribosomal RNA". It matches the Rfam family "Bacterial small subunit ribosomal RNA", at positions 524 to 776 of the family's 1533-position model. The record is from RNAcentral.
UACGUAGGGUGCGAGCGUUGUCCGGAAUUAUUGGGCGUAAAGCGCGCGCAGGUGGUUUCUUAAGUCUGAUGUGAAAGUCCACGGCUCAACCGUGGAGGGUCAUUGGAAACUGGGAGACUUGAGUGCAGAAGAGGAUCGCGGAAUUCCCGGUGUAGAGGUGAAAUUCGUAGAUAUCGGGAGGAACACCAGUGGCGAAGGCGGCGAUCUGGGAAGAUACUGACGCUGCGGUGCGAAAGCGUGGGGAGCAAACAGG